GGGCUUGUAGCUCAGUUGGUUAGAGCGCACCCCUGAUAAGGGUGAGGUCGAAGGUUCGAGUCCUUCCUGGCCCAUCG
RNAcentral lists this transfer RNA (77 nucleotides) under Phycisphaera mikurensis NBRC 102666. RNAcentral's name for it is "tRNA-Ile". It matches the Rfam family "tRNA". Rfam says of the family: Transfer RNA (tRNA) molecules are approximately 80 nucleotides in length. Their secondary structure includes four short double-helical elements and three loops (D, anti-codon, and T loops). Further hydrogen bonds mediate the characteristic L-shaped molecular structure. tRNAs have two regions of fundamental functional importance: the anti-codon, which is responsible for specific mRNA codon recognition, and the 3' end, to which the tRNAs corresponding amino acid is attached (by aminoacyl-tRNA synthetases). tRNAs cope with the degeneracy of the genetic code in two manners: having more than one tRNA (with a specific anti-codon) for a particular amino acid; and 'wobble' base-pairing, i.e. permitting non-standard base-pairing at the 3rd anti-codon position. The record is from RNAcentral. Lineage: Bacteria; Pseudomonadati; Planctomycetota; Phycisphaerae; Phycisphaerales; Phycisphaeraceae.